This 570-nucleotide ribosomal RNA is filed under the name uncultured haloarchaeon. RNAcentral's name for it is "bacterial SSU rRNA". It matches the Rfam family "Archaeal small subunit ribosomal RNA", at positions 340 to 909 of the family's 1478-position model. Lineage: Archaea; Methanobacteriati; Methanobacteriota; Halobacteria; Halobacteriales; Halobacteriaceae. The record is from RNAcentral.
CGCGAAACCUUUACACUGCACGACAGUGCGAUAAGGGGACCCCGAGUGCGAGGGCAUACAGUCCUCGCUUUUGUGUACCGUAGGGAGGUACACGAAUAAGAGCUGGGCAAGACCGGUGCCAGCCGCCGCGGUAAUACCGGCAGCUCAAGUGAUGGCCGCUAUUAUUGGGCCUAAAGCGUCCGUAGCCGGCCGCACAGGUCCGUCGGGAAAUCCACCCGCCUAACGGGUGGGCGUCCGGCGGAAACUGUGCGGCUUGGGACCGGAAGACUCGAGGGGUACGUCCGGGGUAGGAGUGAAAUCCCGUAAUCCUGGACGGACCGCCGGUGGCGAAAGCGCCUCGAGAGGACGGAUCCGACGGUGAGGGACGAAAGCUAGGGUCUCGAACCGGAUUAGAUACCCGGGUAGUCCUAGCCGUAAACGAUGCUCGCUAGGUGUGACGCAGGCUACGAGCCUGCGCUGUGCCGUAGGGAAGCCGUGAAGCGAGCCGCCUGGGAAGUACGUCCGCAAGGAUGAAACUUAAAGGAAUUGGCGGGGGAGCACUACAACCGGAGGAGCCUGCGGUUUAAUUGG